CUCUGCUUUGGGCUUUCUCAGUUUGGGAACUCUUACAGCUAUUUUUUAAAUGCUGUUCCACCUUGUUUUGCAGUGCUGUGCCAGGCUUCAGACCGUUCCUCUUCCAGCCUUCUCCAUGUUUGUUUGCAUCAUGGGCUCCUUCCUCCCCACACAGCUUUGAAAAGGCGAGAACAGCUCCUGAGGCAUGGCUGAUCCCAGCUUUGGCCCAAACACUCAUCACUACCAGAGGUCAUUAAGAGCCCUGCACUUGAUGUCCUCCCUGUGGCCCUGCUGUGGCCAUUGUUACCAGGGUCACUGUCCAGUGCUGUCUUAGGGACCAUCAUUUAGGAGCAGUCUUCCCCAGCAGCUCUGUAGAUAGGAGUCACAGCCUGGCCCUCUCUGCCAGGAGAGCUCAGCUCUCUGUAGGGAUGGACAGAGCCACAAACUGGUGCAGAGGUUUGAAGAGCUGUGCUAGGCAGAGAUGAACCUAGCCCUGAGCUUCUCUCUAGGAUGUUCCUUCAGCAGUUCCUAGCAGGUUUUGUCCCCAGUCUUUCGUGCAGUGCCUUUGCCGGGUCCCGCACUCCGCGGUGAUGCAGCGAGGACGUUUUGCAGAGACCAUGUCUGGCUUUGCAUCCCUGCCUCUUAGGACACAGCCCCUAGGAUGCCUCUUAGGCCCGUGGUUUGUAUUGUUCUGUGUGAAUUACAGGAUGUGAUGGUGGAAAUCUGCUACCUGGGAUCUGACAUGAAUUGUUUGCUUUCUCAGGAAGCCUCACGCUUGUCCGUCGCCUUCCCCUUUGCACACACAUCCCUGUGCCUGCGCUCGCUCAGACACACGGGGCUGCGCCGUGCAGCAAAUUGCUUAUACACAUCAGAAAUGGACAAUGAAGGUUCUGCGGGACAGAGCUUUCUUACUCUGCGAUGCCUUUUGGUCUAUCACAAUCUUGAAGAGGAUAUCCAAUGUCUGGAUAAAUCUGCUGGAAAACAAUAGACAGCCAAUUCCAGUGCCUGGAUGAAGACAAAAACACCCAUCAAAGAAGGACAAAUGCAUGAAGUUCUGCUAAUUCCAAGAUCACCUGAGGGCAAGUUUAGCUGGUGCUGAUGCACGAACAGCACCAGGGCUUUGCCAGGUGUCAUCUGCAAUCGGUUGUGAGUGGAGGCUGUUAAAAUGCAAGGGAUAUUUUUUGUGUGGGUGCUGGAGUGAGCUGAGUUUGAUGAGUCAUUGUUGAGUGCAUGUUGGAGAAGUCAAUGCAGAGCAGGUGUUAUUGGCAAUUUUGGAGUGAAAGGCAGAAAGUCAAUUGUGGAGACUCCACUACAGCCUACAGGGCGUGGAGACACUUUGUACAACAGUAAAAUUGCUAAUGCCAAUGAGGACGUUGAUACACACACACAUUGCAAAUGAGCUUCCCCUUUACCAGCACAUUUCAAUUGUGCCCAUUUGCUUUGGUAUUGAAACAGUUACACCAGGCCACUGAACAUGUGAUUACGUUUUUCUCGCCUAUUAAAAUCCCUAUACGAGCCCAUGCUGAUUAGAGAUCCUAUUGUGUGUAUUUAGGGGGGGAAAAAGGCUCUGUAGUGGCUAUGCAUGAGACAGUAUGUUCUAGGAGCCAGAGGAUGCCCUGUAAUUUAUGAGAGACAAAGAGGUACAUUAGAUAUUGUUAGAAUACAUAAUAAUCCCCUGGCAAUAAUUUAUUUGGCUUGCAAGGUUAGGAUCUCCAUAAUUCUUGGUUGCACUCUAAUGAAGACUGCUGAUGCUGAUUAUAUAUUUUUGUGUACAUUAGAGGUACCUGUGAAUAUAUGGAUACUGUUCUUGCCUCCUGCCACCUCACUACUCACAGAGCUGCCAGUGGGACUAUAUUGUGUGGUCCAUUUGUCUAAAUAGUCCAGGCAAGUGCAUCAGCUGUAUUGGCUUCUUGUCAGUGGUUCUCUGUAACUUUGGGCCAUAAAAUGAUCCUCUGCAGGUUUCACCUGCUUUUCUCACGCUGUUAGAU
Molecule: long non-coding RNA, 1967 nt
Filed under: Parus major (Great Tit)
Lineage: Eukaryota; Metazoa; Chordata; Aves; Passeriformes; Paridae
Description: lncRNA (ENSPMJG00000019847.1)
Source: RNAcentral